CCUACGGGGGGCAGCAGUGGGGAAUAUUGGACAAUGGGGGGAACCCUGAUCCAGCCAUGCCGCGUGUGUGAAGAAGGCCCUCGGGUUGUAAAGCACUUUUAGUGAGGAAGAACGCCUGGUGGUUAAUACCCAUCAGGAAAGACAUCACUCACAGAAGAAGCACCGGCUAACUCCGUGCCAGCAGCCGCGGUAAUACGGAGGGUGCGAGCGUUAAUCGGAAUUACUGGGCGUAAAGCGCGCGUAGGUGGCUUGAUAAGCCGGUUGUGAAAGCCCCGGGCUCAACCUGGGAACGGCAUCCGGAACUGUCAAGCUAGAGUGCAGGAGAGGAAGGUAGAAUUCCCGGUGUAGCGGUGAAAUGCGUAGAGAUCGGGAGGAAUACCAGUGGCGAAGGCGGCCUUCUGGACUGACACUGACACUGAGGUGCGAAAGCGUGGGUAGCAAACAGGAUUAGAUACCCUUGUAGUC
Molecule: ribosomal RNA, 465 nt
Filed under: Vreelandella stevensii
Lineage: Bacteria; Pseudomonadati; Pseudomonadota; Gammaproteobacteria; Oceanospirillales; Halomonadaceae
Description: partial 16S ribosomal RNA
Rfam family: Bacterial small subunit ribosomal RNA
Source: RNAcentral